Long non-coding RNA from Aethina tumida (small hive beetle), 906 nucleotides. RefSeq lists it as uncharacterized. The record is from RefSeq and is a predicted model, not a curated record. The transcript is spliced from 3 exons. Lineage: Eukaryota; Metazoa; Arthropoda; Insecta; Coleoptera; Nitidulidae.
GAAGAAAUACUUGUGUAUAGUAAUGCUAGAAAUGAAACAGAUCGUAUCAAACUGUUAUUUUUAGGGAAUAUUUUUGUCUAAAUUCAUUAAUUUACUUACAGGAAUUCCCAACUAAACAAAGAAUAAGUACUUUCAUGUAUAUGACGCUCCUUAAAACAACACAUUAAUACCUAAUUAAUUUGUUUUCAGAAUAAAUUAAGAUUGAAAUCUUAAAGUACGAUGCAAAAGGCAAAUGGUGUAGAGAUUCUAGUGGCCCAAGAAUUGGAUUUAAAUUAUUUCGACGAUUCGUUGGGCACGAGGAGUUACGUUCACAUGGAAAGGCUGAUUACCAUCAUAUAAAUGAAGAUGAAAUGAGCCACGACACAACCUGACGACAUCGGCAAAUAUUUUCUCUGAGGCUAUGAAAUAUGAAAAAAAAUCCAAGAAAUCCGAAAAAAGUACAAGAAAAAAUCACAAUAAAGAAGAAAACAUCAUUACCAAGAAACCGUAUUCAAAAGUUCUACCAAAAAGGCUGAGGACUGGAAUGUUCCCGUUUGAGUUCCACAUUUCUAUCUCUGUAUAUAGCAAGUACUUUCAUUUUAUGGAAAUGUUUCCAUAGUGUGGAUCUAGGUUUCAACUCAUCUAUCAUCUGAGAAUGAAGCUUGUUUAUAGCAAUUAUAAUUUUAGAUUAGUGCCGAAGUAAUUUUUCCUUAAAUUUUAAUCUGUACUGUAAUCACUAAAUGUGUUUCCUAAAAAAAUAUGUUGCAUAUAACUUUUAAGUACCUCCACUGAAUAGUUGAAGGUUAAAAAAAUCGACAAUGGGUCGAAACCAUUUAUUAACAACCAAACUUAUAUUAAAUUAACCACAUAACUUAAAGGUACACAAAGUAGUUUUAUUUGGAAAGUUAUAUUAUAUAUAAAUAUUUG